UUCAAGGGGAGUCAGGUUUUAAAGCUGACUAGGUGAACAAAGCAGAGUCCCACAGCCUCCCUGGAACCUGAAUGCGUGCAAAACUUGUUUUGAAGUGGAAGGCUGUAGAGAAAGGGGAAAGAGGCCAGAUUAGUAUCACUCCACUGAGUCCAGCAGAGAAGAGCAGAAGAGGAUAGUGCUGUACUCUGUGACCUGUAUUUUCAAUGUCCUUUUAUUUAUUAACAACCUGCCAAAAAUAAACUCUCAACCAGGUUUGCUGCAGAGCGGUAGCAUGGCCCUUGAAGUCCACCUGACUUUAUGAUGCACCAGAACAGCAUUCACAAUACAAUCAUACACCCUCUCCUCAGGACAGGAGGUGGACAGGUGGAACAACUAUUUUGCACCUAUGGGAAGAGGGAAACAAACACUGUCUUCUCCAGCAGCUCUGAAGAUGUCCAUCUACAUCCAAUGACUCAUAGAUUUUCCCUUGGCAGAGAAAAAUCUUGUCAAGCUGGUCCCUAGAAGAACGAAGUGAAGAAAUCAGAGCGAAGAAGAAACCAAGACCACCAGAUAGACCUGAUCCCACUUUUUAAAACCACUCUGUACCCUUGACAAGCUGCUCUCUGCUACAGAAGAUGUGCCAAGAGCCUGGUGACUGGUACGAGUGACCUUCCUAAGGAUUAGCCAGAGAUAUGUGACUGCCAGUGAAUAAUUCUAUUCAUUUAUUAUCUGUGAUGAACAGUAAAUCAUUCUAGUAAGAUACUUUUCCAUUCAUUCAUUGCUUGAGAACGAUUAAGAACAAAUAGCCCUUAAAAGCUUUUCCAGUGGAGCUAAGCAAAAUGUACACAGGGAGAGCCAAAAACUUUGUCCCAUUCACUUGUGGUUAAAUCAUAUCAAUAGAGUUGGACAAACAAAUAAUGGUGUGAGCACACAUAGAUGCCCCUUCAUCUUCACCCUUAUAUUUUCUGGUCUCCUGACCAUCUGUGCUCAUGCUACUAUUCUAGAAAACAUUUACCCAAACAGUAUUUUGAUCUGAUGAAGCAACAACACGGUUUUGAUAAGCACAGUUUCAGUGUAAACUAACAUACCUAUGGAUAAAAUAGAGCACUUACGUUACCCAGAUGGUUAACUAGUGAAUGUCAGUGCUAGGAUUACUUCUAAAUCUAUCCACGGCUGUAAAAAGCAGUGACUUAGGAAAGGCAGCAGGCAGCUGGAGAGGCUUUUUCCAUUCACCCACACCAUGCCAAAGUUAGGAAGAAAGAUAUCAAGGAUCUGAAUCAAGGUGUGAAUCAACAUCCCAUGUCAUGCUCCUCACUUCUCCUGCCAAUACAUACGAGAUAUUCCCAUGUCAUGGUGUGGCAUGAACACACCACAUUACAAAAACAUAGCUAAACCAGCUGCAAUUUGGCAGAGAAUCAAAGACCAAUGUAUCUCCAGGACUGCUGCACCAUUUCCUACAUGUAUGAGUCCCCUUCACAGGCUAAGAGAACCUAUGAUUUGGCUGCAGAAAAGGUGACUCUCCCAUUAAGGAAGUGUGAUGGCCCAGCAGCUAUCCCACAACAAGUAACUCAGCAGAUUUCAUCCUUUAUCUUUUCUAUGGGCAAUCCUAUCUAGCAAACUUUUCCCAUUCAUCUCUACCAUGACUUCUAUAUCUUUUAGGUCCUGCUUACAGAUUUAUCCCAAAGCGACUCUUCCCUCUGUAGGCAUGUCUGACAUUCAAAUAAGGGCAAAUGAAUUUCUCUUUUCUACUCUGCUUCAAAGUCAACAGAGGUCAUGUGUAUAUGACAAAAGCAGGAAACCAGUGGGGCUAUUUGCUUGAAAUGAUAAUGCUGUAUUUCACAGUCCCUUUCUUCAGAAGCAAAAUUGUUGGCAUUUUGCUAAACAUCAUAUGACUCUUCAGUAGUGAGGACUGACUACAUCUCCACUUGGAUUAAACAAAAUAAUUAACUGUUACUGAGCACAAAGAGAAAGUCACAAGGUUGCAAAGAGUAAUGCAGCUACAUGGAAGAAGAGAAGCUCUCUUUAAGCUGAUGAUUGAACUACUCAUAUAGAUAGGGCACUGGCUUCAGCACUGUACCCUUUUCUGUCUAUUUGCAGCUGCUCUUGGCUUCUGAGAACUGGUAUGAAGCACGGACUCAAGAUGAGCUCAUGUUCAUACAAAGCUAACAAUUACCUUUGGUUUUGACUGCUGCAGAAGACUAUAGCUUCCUUCCCAAUCCACACUCAUAUUUUCCAACCCUCAAAAAUGCCAUGUGCUUAGGGAAAUAAAUAUACUAAGGAGUAGGUAGAACUCUCA
Molecule: long non-coding RNA, 2275 nt
Organism: Coturnix japonica (Japanese quail)
Lineage: Eukaryota; Metazoa; Chordata; Aves; Galliformes; Phasianidae
Source: Ensembl